CAUGCAGGGAGAUCCCUUUUAUUAAUGUCCGUGUAUAAAAGCAGUUGCAGAAAGUCUAGCAUCAUACUCACUGAAGAUCAAUCAACUGCCUCUUCAAAAAGCUCUAAACUCUCCGACGCUACGUAUAAGAAGACAUGAAGGCUCUCAUCAUUGUGACUGUAAUAAUCAUGUUUAGGCCACUGUUAGUUGCAUGUAUACUUGUUUCAGAUCAACCUCCCUCCUCGUUUUGCUCACCUCCUUAACUUAAGUCAGCCAUUAUUUGAGGUCAAAGUCCUUUUUUUGCUGACAUUGCAUUAUUUUACCAUGUGCCAUGUUGCAAGUUGCAUUGUGCACCAAAAAGCCAGUGCGUAAAAAAAUUAAAACUAUUUUUUUCAUACUCCGUCCUUUUGUGUAUUGUUGUCAGUUAAAAAAACAGGAUAUAACGUCAUCAAAAUAAUAAUUAUUUUAUAAUAAUGGGAUAAUGAGUAAUGAAGGCCUCCCUCCCUCCCUCAUCGGGGUCGAGCUAGUAUUCUCAUCUGAAACAAAUGCAACUAACAGUGGCCUCAUAGAGAAACAAAGGAAUUUAUAGUUACCAAAAAGGUCCAAUGAACCCUACAACAGGUUAUACAAGGUCAUAGCAAAAUGUGUGUGACUACAUGGACCGGAGAAAGUGUCUCUGGCUGCUUAUGCAAUGUGGUUGCUGCAUUGUACACGAUCCAGCCCCUCCUUCUUUUCUGCAGAAAACUGCUAAGCCAGCAAUAAUAAUAAUCUGUAAAGCGCAUGCGCGGAAAAUCUUAAAAAAAGCUGACACAUGAGAUUUCUUUACAUUUUUUCGAAAUCAAGCCCGUUCUCAAGACUCUCGAUUCUUCUACUCGCCAAUCAGGUGGCCGGCCACGAACACUAAAGAAUCUUCUCGAAGGCUACACGUACAUGUAUGGCCGGCCAUACACAACGAUAUCUCCUCAUCCAUCACACUUGACUCGAUAAACAUUACAAAGACCAGUCAUCUCAUUCAUAAUUAUUAUUUUAAACAGCUAUUAUGUUUUGAGGGGCCCCUCGUUAUUAUAGAGCUCUAUUAUUUCAAUAGUCACUCUAUUGUGUUGUGUUGGUGUUGGAGACUAUGGUGCCUGGAAUAGAGUGACUGAACUGAAAAUGGACCACAAAAAACGUUAAAACUGCAAAAUCAAGUGUCUAAGUCUACAAAAUAAUUAUCUUUAAGACAAGCUAUCUACUCAAGUCCCCAAGUCAAGUAUCUCCAGCCACUCGAAGAACAACAUUCUCAUCCUCAAGGACAGGACACUGGAGGAACAUGCAAGGACUCAUACUGGCACUCCUCACCUGGAUAGGAGGCUGGAAUGGCAGUUGUAUUUUACUGAGCAUUACAAUUCUGUAGUUACUGAGCAUUGUGUCCAAUUAGCAUGCCAUAAUGAUGUGUGCUAACCUCUGACACCAAUCACCUCUUGUCACAAUACAUGUUGUGAGCCGGCCGGAGACCACUAAUGGAACUCUAAUAGAGGAAGCGUCCAGUCUAUACAAUGCACUGCUACUACUCAAGUACAAGUCUGCAUGAUAGGGAUCAUCUCUCUACGUACUGACAGAAUUAACAAACUUCCCCAUCCUUAAAGAUGAACUACUGUUGGAAUUCCAAGCAUGCAAUGCAGAGCUGAUUAAUUUUAACUCGAACAAACAAACUAUUAGACAUGUACUGAGACUGACUCCUUUAUAUAGUAUUGAGUCCCACUCCCCCCCCCCCCCCCCAUGCAUGUGUCCCCAUGCAUGCCUCUCUGCCAUGCUCACCAGAUUACAGGAAACAGCAAGCCUAUCUACUAUAUACUCCUACUGCUAUACUCAAGUCAAGUCUCUAUAUCACUGGAAGGAUUUCAAUACAAACAACGUCCUCCUCCUUAAGGACGAGGACAGUGGACGGACAGCGACUGAUACUGGCACUCCUCACCUGGGUUGUACUGCAAGGGUGGAGUUAUAUCCAGCAUUAUAAUAAUAGGCAUCAUUAUUAUUACUGCAUGAGCAUUACAUUACAUGCUGUGUCCUAACCUCUGCCCUAACAAUGUUAUUAUCACAAUACAUGUUCUGGGAGACCACUGGCGGAAUUUGGAGAAUACUAGAGGAAACAACACUAUACAGAGUAUCUACUGCUACUAUACUGAAUUAAGUCAAGUCUGUAUGGAGCAUCUCUUCACCGGCAAUGACAUCACUGGCAUUGGUGGAAUACAAUGUCCUCCUCCUUAAGAAAAACUACUACACUCAACUACAUCUCAUCAGUCAUAAUUCAAUCAACUCAUUUUAUUUAUUGGGGGCCCCUACAUAUUUUCAUUUAUUUUUUCGUUUUCGUUGUUAUAAAUCAUGAAAGAAGAAGAAAAAUGAUCAGGAGGAGGAGUGGUCAGGCCACACCUACAAUGUACAUGUGACCACACCUCUAAUGCUAGGCCACACCCACCUUUCCACACCUUCAUGUGAGCUGUGGGUGUGCCUAGUACUACAUACACACAUGAUGCUUUGUCCCUGUGUAGACAGUACGUAUAACUAUACUCGAUUUCUAACCACCUGGAUUUAACAGAACCUUCAAACCAACUGGAAACUAACAGAACCUUCUAAUCAAUUGGACUGGGAUAGCCUCAAUAGAUAUCCCAGAUGGUCCCAUGGGCGGGGGGCCAGCGAUGCAGUGCCACAUACUCGCGACGGUGCUGGCUGUCACACUGCAUGGAGGGAGGACUAUCUCUCUAUAGUGUGCAAGAGCACUGCAAACUGAACACACUUUUGUAAUUUCAAUUUCUCAAUGAUUUGCUAUAAUUAAUGUGGUUUUGAAAAUUCAAUAAGAAAUUUGAACACAACAAUUGUUGGAUCAAGAGUUCAUUAGCGCAACUCCCACA
This is a long non-coding RNA of Halichondria panicea, 2867 nucleotides long. RefSeq lists it as uncharacterized. The transcript is spliced from 7 exons. NCBI's taxonomy places the organism in Eukaryota, Metazoa, Porifera, Demospongiae, Suberitida, Halichondriidae. The record is from RefSeq and is a predicted model, not a curated record.